AUUAUGGGUGGCCAUUUUACAGCGCUUUUUUGAGAAAGCGCCGUAAAAUGCAGACCCAUAAUAUGAAAAUUAUGGGUGUGCAUUUUACAGCGCUUUCUUGAGAAAGCGUUGUAAAAUGCACACCCAUAAUAUGA
This is a small nucleolar RNA of Cicer arietinum (chickpea), 134 nucleotides long. RefSeq annotates it as small nucleolar RNA SNORA69. Lineage: Eukaryota; Viridiplantae; Streptophyta; Magnoliopsida; Fabales; Fabaceae. The record is from RefSeq and is a predicted model, not a curated record.